AUACUGGAAGUAUCUACCCUGUACAGCUGCCUUCCAAGCAGAAAGUCCUUUUGGCCAGUAUA
Molecule: transfer RNA, 62 nt
Filed under: Microcondylaea bonellii
Lineage: Eukaryota; Metazoa; Mollusca; Bivalvia; Unionida; Unionidae
Description: Unio bonellii tRNA-Gly
Source: RNAcentral